UGCGCCUUGCCACGCCCGCUCAGAAACUCAAAGGAAUUGACGGGGACCCGCACAAGCGGUGGAUGAUGUGGUUUAAUUCGAUGCAACGCGAAAAACCUUACCCACCUUUGACAUGUACGGAAGAUCGCAGAGACGCGAUUGUGCUCGAAAGAGAACCGUAACACAGGUGCUGCAUGGCUGUCGUCAGCUCGUGUCGUGAGAUGUUGGGUUAAGUCCCGCAACGAGCGCAACCCUUGCCAUUAGUUGCUACAUUCAGUUGGGCACUCUAAUGGGACUGCCGGUGACAAACCGGAGGAAGGUGGGGAUGACGUCAAGUCCUCAUGGCCCUUAUAGGUGGGGCUACACACGUCAUACAAUGGCUGGUACAAAGGGUUGCCAACCCGCGAGGGGGAGCUAAUCCCAUAAAGCCAGUCGUAGUCCGGAUCGUAGUCUGCAACUCGACUACGUGAAGUCGGAAUCGCUAGUAAUCGUGGAUCAGAAUGUCACGGUGAAUACGUUCCCGGGUCUU
Molecule: ribosomal RNA, 508 nt
Filed under: uncultured Simplicispira sp.
Lineage: Bacteria; Pseudomonadati; Pseudomonadota; Betaproteobacteria; Burkholderiales; Comamonadaceae
Description: bacterial SSU rRNA
Rfam family: Bacterial small subunit ribosomal RNA
Source: RNAcentral